UCGAGCGGAAACGAGUUAUCUGAACCUUCGGGGAACGAUAACGGCGUCGAGCGGCGGACGGGUGAGUAAUGCCUAGGAAAUUGCCCUGAUGUGGGGGAUAACCAUUGGAAACGAUGGCUAAUACCGCAUGAUGCCUACGGGCCAAAGAGGGGGACCUUCGGGCCUCUCGCGUCAGGAUAUGCCUAGGUGGGAUUAGCUAGUUGGUGAGGUAAGGGCUCACCAAGGCGACGAUCCCUAGCUGGUCUGAGAGGAUGAUCAGCCACACUGGAACUGAGACACGGUCCAGACUCCUACGGGAGGCAGCAGUGGGGAAUAUUGCACAAUGGGCGCAAGCCUGAUGCAGCCAUGCCGCGUGUGUGAAGAAGGCCUUCGGGUUGUAAAGCACUUUCAGUCGUGAGGAAGGUGGUGUAGUUAAUAGCUGCAUUAUUUGACGUUAGCGACAGAAGAAGCACCGGCUAACUCCGUGCCAGCAGCCGCGGUAAUACGGAGGGUGCGAGCGUUAAUCGGAAUUACUGGGCGUAAAGCGCAUGCAGGUGGUUUGUUAAGUCAGAUGUGAAAGCCCGGGGCUCAACCUCGGAAUAGCAUUUGAAACUGGCAGACUAGAGUACUGUAGAGGGGGGUAGAAUUUCAGGUGUAGCGGUGAAAUGCGUAGAGAUCUGAAGGAAUACCGGUGGCGAAGGCGGCCCCCUGGACAGAUACUGACACUCAGAUGCGAAAGCGUGGGGAGCAAACAGGAUUAGAUACCCUGGUAGUCCACGCCGUAAACGAUGUCUACUUGGAGGUUGUGGCCUUGAGCCGUGGCUUUCGGAGCUAACGCGUUAAGUAGACCGCCUGGGGAGUACGGUCGCAAGAUUAAAACUCAAAUGAAUUGACGGGGGCCCGCACAAGCGGUGGAGCAUGUGGUUUAAUUCGAUGCAACGCGAAGAACCUUACCUACUCUUGACAUCCAGAGAACUUUCCAGAGAUGGAUUGGUGCCUUCGGGAACUCUGAGACAGGUGCUGCAUGGCUGUCGUCAGCUCGUGUUGUGAAAUGUUGGGUUAAGUCCCGCAACGAGCGCAACCCUUAUCCUUGUUUGCCAGCGAGUAAUGUCGGGAACUCCAGGGAGACUGCCGGUGAUAAACCGGAGGAAGGUGGGGACGACGUCAAGUCAUCAUGGCCCUUACGAGUAGGGCUACACACGUGCUACAAUGGCGCAUACAGAGGGCGGCCAACUUGCGAAAGUGAGCGAAUCCCAAAAAGUGCGUCGUAGUCCGGAUUGGAGUCUGCAACUCGACUCCAUGAAGUCGGAAUCGCUAGUAAUCGUGGAUCAGAAUGCCACGGUGAAUACGUUCCCGGGCCUUGUACACACCGCCCGUCACAACCAUGGGAGUGGGCUGCAAAAGAAGUAGGUAGUUU
This 1396-nucleotide ribosomal RNA is filed under the name Vibrio sp. A-C. RNAcentral's name for it is "bacterial SSU rRNA". It matches the Rfam family "Bacterial small subunit ribosomal RNA", at positions 62 to 1436 of the family's 1533-position model. The record is from RNAcentral. Lineage: Bacteria; Pseudomonadati; Pseudomonadota; Gammaproteobacteria; Vibrionales; Vibrionaceae.